Molecule: unclassified non-coding RNA, 258 nt
Organism: Ursus maritimus (polar bear)
Lineage: Eukaryota; Metazoa; Chordata; Mammalia; Carnivora; Ursidae
Gene: 7SK
Rfam family: 7SK RNA
About the family: 7SK was discovered as an abundant small nuclear RNA in the mid-70s but a possible function has only recently been suggested. Two independent studies have found that 7SK RNA binds the CDK9/cyclin T complex (known as elongation factor P-TEFb).
Source: Ensembl
GGAUGAGAGGGUGAUCUGACAGGGACAGCUGUCAUCAGUCAUCCUGUUGACCUUCGGGGUUAAUUCACCUGAUCUGGCUGGCUGACUAAGGGUCAUCUCCAUUCGCCCUCACUACCCCAUGGGCAUCCCUUUUGAAACUCCUUGAAUGAUAAUAAAAAAAAAAAUGAAAAGAGAGCCCUUCUUUCAUCAGGAAUGACAAUUAAUUCUUUCAACAAAUGUAUAUUGAGCUUCUCCUACGUAGCAAACAUUGUCUAAUAU